Molecule: ribosomal RNA, 305 nt
Filed under: uncultured bacterium
Lineage: Bacteria
Description: partial 16S ribosomal RNA
Rfam family: Bacterial small subunit ribosomal RNA
Source: RNAcentral
ACAGCAGCCGCCGCGGUAAAACGGAGGGGGCUAGCGUUGUUCGGAAUUACUGGGCGUAAAGCGCACGUAGGCUGCUUUGUAAGUCAGAGGUGAAAGCCCGGGGCUCAACCCCGGAUGUGCCUUUGAGACUGCAGGGCUAGAACGUCGGAGGGGUGAGUGGAAUUCCGAGUGUAGAGGUGAAAUUCGUAGAUAUUCGGAAGAACACAGUGGCGAAGGCGGCUCACUGGACGACUGUUGACGCUGAGGUGCGAAAGCGUGGGGAGCAAACAGGAUUAGAUACCCGAGUAGUCCCUGUCUCUUAUACA